CGUGCCUAAUACAUGCAAAGUCGAAACGCAUUUGUGGUUGAAAUGAUAUGAAGAACUUGUUCAGAUUUGAUUUUCAACAUUGCAAUGAGUGGCGAACGGGUGAGUAACACGUGGGAAACCUACCUCUUAGCAGGGGAUAACAUUUGGAAACAAAUGCUAAUACCGUAUAAUAAUUAAAACCGCAUGGUUUUAGUUUAAAAGAUGGUCUUGCUAUCACUAAGAGAUGGUCCCGCGGUGUAUUAGUUAGUUGGUGAGGUAAUGGCUCACCAAGACAAUGAUACAUAGCCGAGUUGAGAGACUGACUGGCCACAAUGGGACUGAGACACGGCCCAUACUCCUACGGGAGGCAGCAGUAGGGAAUCUUCCACAAUGGACGAAAGUCUGAUGGAGCAACGCCGCGUGUGUGAUGAAGGGUUUCGGCUCGUAAAACACUGUUGUAAGAGAAGAAUGACAUUGAGAGUAACUGUUCAAUGUGUGACGGUAUCUUACCAGAAAGGAACGGCUAAAUACGUG
Molecule: ribosomal RNA, 513 nt
Filed under: uncultured bacterium
Lineage: Bacteria
Description: bacterial SSU rRNA
Rfam family: Bacterial small subunit ribosomal RNA
Source: RNAcentral